UCAUCUUCAGGCACUUGAAGUAUGAGGCUCUAGCCACCUUCCCUGAUCACUCCUCUUUCUAGUCCUACUGGCUCUUCCCCACCUUCCUCCCUCCCUCCCACCACACCUGCAUUCAAGUGCUGAAGCAGAGCCUUCCUGCUGAUAAGCCAUCAACACAGGCAAAAGCAGCAUCUUCCAAGGGUCUCCUGAAAAUGAGGCGACGUUAAGCAGUCUGUGCUAAGCUGUACAAUGCUGUACAAGUUUGGAGGAGGAAGUAUCAGAGUAGACCAGACGACUAAGAAAGGCUUCUUAAGAGAGGGAGGCCUUGAAGAGUCUCAGGAUUCAGAUAAGAAAAGAGGGAACAUGAUGGCACUUUAGACAGGAUGGGAAUAUUGUAGGCGAAGGCAACCCUAGCUUUGAGUCCCUCUCAGCCGCCGGUGCCAUCUAAUGUCAUGGAAUGUCUAGCAGUGCCCUUGCCUUUAAAGAUGUGAACGUGUUUCCAUGAGAGGGAACCUCUAUGACUAAUAAGACAAAUAAAAGAAUAACCCCUU
This 530-nucleotide non-coding RNA is filed under the name Pongo abelii (Sumatran orangutan). Lineage: Eukaryota; Metazoa; Chordata; Mammalia; Primates; Hominidae. The record is from RNAcentral.